RNAcentral lists this ribosomal RNA (461 nucleotides) under uncultured bacterium. RNAcentral's name for it is "partial 16S ribosomal RNA". It matches the Rfam family "Bacterial small subunit ribosomal RNA", at positions 29 to 507 of the family's 1533-position model. The record is from RNAcentral.
AUAAACGCUGGCGGCGUGCUUAACACAUGCACGUCGAACGAAGUUUUUCUUUCGGGAGGAACUUAGUGGCGGACGGGUGAGUAACGCGUGGGUAACCUGCCCUGUACAGGGGGACAACAGCUGGAAACGGCUGCUAAUACCGCAUAAGCCCUUAGCACUGCAUGGUGCAUAGGGAAAAGGAGCAAUCCGGUACAGGAUGGACCCGCGUCUGAUUAGCCAGUUGGCAGGGUAACGGCCUACCAAAGCGACGAUCAGUAGCCGAUCUGAGAGGAUGUACGGCCACAUUGGGACUGAGACACGGCCCAGACUCCUACGGGAGGCAGCAGUGGGGAAUAUUGCACAAUGGAGGAAACUCUGAUGCAGCGACGCCGCGUGAGUGAAGAAGUAUUUCGGUAUGUAAAGCUCUAUCAGCAGGAAAGAAAAUGACGGUACCUGACUAAGAAGCACCGGCUAAAUACGUG